GAUGAACGCUGGCGGCGUGCCUAAUACAUGCAAGUCGAGCGAACGGACGAGAAGCUUGCUUCUCUGAUGUUAGCGGCGGACGGGUGAGUAACACGUGGAUAACCUACCUAUAAGACUGGGAUAACUUCGGGAAACCGGAGCUAAUACCGGAUGAUAUUUUGAACCGCAUGGUUCAAAAGUGAAAGACGGUCUUGCUGUCACUUAUAGAUGGAUCCGCGCUGCAUUAGCUAGUUGGUAAGGUAACGGCUUACCAAGGCAACGAUGCAUAGCCGACCUGAGAGGGUGAUCGGCCACACUGGAACUGAGACACGGUCCAGACUCCUACGGGAGGCAGCAGUAGGGAAUCUUCCGCAAUGGGCGAAAGCCUGACGGAGCAACGCCGCGCGAGUGAUGAAGGUCUUCGGAUCGUAAAACUCUGUUAUUAGGGAAGAACAUAUGUGUAAGUAACUGUGCACAUCUUGACGGUACCUAAUCAGAAAGCCACGGCUAACUACGUG
Molecule: ribosomal RNA, 497 nt
Filed under: uncultured bacterium
Lineage: Bacteria
Description: partial 16S ribosomal RNA
Rfam family: Bacterial small subunit ribosomal RNA
Source: RNAcentral